RNAcentral lists this long non-coding RNA (433 nucleotides) under Elaeis guineensis (African oil palm). Its description in RNAcentral is "long non-coding RNA (EGUI_LNC002370)". The record is from RNAcentral. Lineage: Eukaryota; Viridiplantae; Streptophyta; Magnoliopsida; Arecales; Arecaceae.
CAAGGAAAAUCUCAAAAAUUCAAAUUCAUCUCCUUGUAAAAGAAGCAAUCCUGUUCCUUUGCUUUCUUGAAAAGUUAGUCUCACAAGGGGUCUAUUGCAGUAAUUAUCAGUAUCUUGAUAACAAGCAAACCUGCCAAAAGGGGUAAGCACAUUUGGCCGCUCUGGGAAAAGAACCUGCAAAGUAGAAAGAGUUUAAGAAAGCUUGAUGAAAGUGCUUCUGUAAAUGUGACACUAAAUAUGAUCAAUACAAUAAGCAGCAAUUUUGUGAUAUCCUAAGUAUGAUCGAUACAACGAGCAGCAAUUUUGUUCAUAUCACAACAGAACAUGUACUCUCUAUAUACAGAAACAUUAUAUGCAGAACAAGGAAAGAAAAAAAGGAAUGGAAAAACUAAAAAGAAAAAAAAACUGGCUUGUUUCCUUCACCAAUAUAAGA